AUGAUGGAAAGGAGACAUGACCGGGACGCCCUGCAGUGCAGGAUUAAAGUGAAGGAGCUGCGGAGUGCCUACCGUGCUGCGCUGAGCGACUCUGUCCAGUCCAACGAACCCGAAGUGUCUGGGCCGGUUGGAGGUUCUGUAACACUCAGCUGUUCUUACACCACCAGCGAUAGCUAUGUCUAUCUCAAUUGGUACCGUCAGUAUCCGAACCAAGCCCCAGAGUACAUUCUCUGGAAGGGAGCGAAAUCCGCCAGCGGUACCAGCCACACAGCAGAUUUCGCCCAGGAGAGGUUUUCUUCCCAGGCUGAUGACAGCUCCACAGUUCUGAACAUCACAGCCCUGGAGCUGGCGGACACAGCGGUGUAUUACUGCGCCCUGCAGAGAGCACAGUGA
Emys orbicularis (European pond turtle) is the source of this 393-nucleotide non-coding RNA. The record is from the annotation of a RefSeq genome assembly. NCBI's taxonomy places the organism in Eukaryota, Metazoa, Chordata, Testudines, Emydidae.